ACGAACGCUGGCGGCGUGCUUAACACAUGCAAGUCGAACGGAAAGGCCCUGCUUGCCUGGUACUCGAGUGGCGAACGGGUGAGUAACACGUGGGUGAUCUGCCCUGCACUUCGGGAUAAGCCUGGGAAACUGGGUCUAAUACCGGAUAGGAGCCAUUUUUAGUGUGAUGGUUGGAAAGUUUUUUCGGUGUAGGAUGAGCUCGCGGCCUAUCAGCUUGUUGGUGGGGUAAUGGCCUACCAAGGCGGCGACGGGUAGCCGGCCUGAGAGGGUGGACGGCCACAUUGGGACUGAGAUACGGCCCAGACUCCUACGGGAGGCAGCAGUGGGGAAUAUUGCACAAUGGGCGCAAGCCUGAUGCAGCGACGCCGCGUGGGGGAUGACGGCCUUCGGGUUGUAAACUCCUUUCGCUAGGGACGAAGCUUUUUGUGACGGUACCUAGAUAAGAAGCACCGGCUAACUACGUG
This 464-nucleotide ribosomal RNA is filed under the name uncultured bacterium. RNAcentral describes it as "partial 16S ribosomal RNA". It matches the Rfam family "Bacterial small subunit ribosomal RNA", at positions 29 to 507 of the family's 1533-position model. The record is from RNAcentral.